RNAcentral lists this ribosomal RNA (497 nucleotides) under uncultured bacterium. Its description in RNAcentral is "partial 16S ribosomal RNA". It matches the Rfam family "Bacterial small subunit ribosomal RNA", at positions 28 to 507 of the family's 1533-position model. The record is from RNAcentral.
GAUGAACGCUGGCGGCGUGCCUAAUACAUGCAAGUCGAACGAACAGACCUGCUUCUUGCUCCUCUUACCUUAUCCUCGGACGGGUGAGUAACACGUAGCUAACCUAUCUUUAAGACUCGGCUUACUUCUGAACCUCGGAGCUAAUACCUGAUUAUCUAUUGAACCGCAUGGUUCUAUCUUGAAUGGCGGUUUUUCUUUUACUUAUUGAUGGAUACGCGCCGCAUUAGCUGGUUGGUAAUGUGACGGCUUACCAACGCAACGAUGCGUAGCCGACGUGAGAGGGUGAGCGGCGACAGUGGAACUGAGACACGGUCCAGACUCCUACGGGAAGCAGCAGUAGGGGAGGUUACGAGAGGGGCGAAAGCGUGACGGAGCAACGCCGAGUGAGUGAGGAAGAUCUUGGGAUCGGAAAAGUCUGUUAUUAGGGAAGAACAAAUGGGUAAGUAGCUAGGAAGGUCGUGACGGUAGCGAAAGAGAAAGCAACGGCUAACUACGUG